RNAcentral lists this long non-coding RNA (2455 nucleotides) under Cinara cedri. The record is from RNAcentral. Lineage: Eukaryota; Metazoa; Arthropoda; Insecta; Hemiptera; Aphididae.
CUUAUCAAUAUUAUUGCUGGAAUUAGUAUUGUUCAUUAGUCAUUUCACACACAAUAAUACGUUUUCAAAUUUAAUAAAACAUGUUUAUAGUAGGUGUAUGUCGAGUGUAUAAAAGAAAGUUCGGUCCUAGACAGUAUGGAAAUCGAUCAGAUACCGUUGUUGAAAAUGCUCUUAACAAAAUAAUUAAUUGUGAACUUUAAAUAUUAGCAGCAAGAAAACAAUAUAAAAUAACCCAUGAUAUAUUACACGACAGAUAUCAUGGUAAACAUGGUAAUAAACCGGGAGGCCAACCAUGAACCAAUAUGUAGUGAAUAUUUACUGAAGCUGAGGAAAAAGUAUUAUUGGCUACUAUUGCUAAAUGUAGUAAUUGAUGUUUCCUUUUAACCAUGACUGACUUCAGGUAACUAUUAAUAUCCUUGUUAAAUAUAAUCUAUAAAACACAAAAACUGUUUCUACUUAUGACCAUUAUAGAUUUUAAAAUCAUCCAACCCAACAUGCCCCAAACCAGUCUCAUUAGAAAGGCAAUAAUGCAAAGAUGGUUUUAGACCACUAAAACAACACAUUGAGCAUAUUCAGUCCAUUAAUGAAGUCGAUUUUUGACUUUUCCCAUUCAACAAUUUUCUCGAAUUUUAAUAUUUAUUUUUUUUAUAUAUUUUUUAUAGAUAUAGAUUAUUCACAAACUCACCAAAGAGUGGCAUUACUCACAAACAAAUUAAAAACAAAACUUGUGCAAUUUGUGCAUCACAUUUAAUUAUUUUGACCGCAUUGGUGCGAAGUUGGCACAUACUACUGACUGUCAACACAAAAACACUGAUCUGUCAUUCUCAUCAGAAAGUUUUAUCAUUUGUGUUUAUCACGUAGAUCAUGUCAAGUAAUCAAAUUAGGAAAUAUUAAAAACCUCAUAAAUUGUAUUAAAAAUAUUUGUUUUCAUGAAAUUUGGUGGUGAUUUUAAGUACUGUUAUCAAAAAUGCCACUGAAAAGAGCUGUUACUGGAAGAAAUGCACCAAAUGCUAAACGAAAGAGAACCAUAAGUGCAGCCGAAAUGCCUGAACAACAAGAAGUAUGUUUGGCGUCAAACCAACUGAAAUAUUAAUAAUCAGCUGAAACUCCUCAAUAGCAUAAAAAGUGGCUUGAAGGUAAUUUAUCAUGAACGGCUCAAUCGAUUUUCAGUUGGUUGCAUUCAAUAGUUAAUAAACUAGAUAAUAAUAAUAAAAAAUAAUACUUUUUUCAGAUUAGUGGCAGUUAUUUUUGGACAAAAUGGGUAUUGUCUAAACAUUUAAGGACAAUCUACCGGGUAAUGACUGGACUGAAAGUUUAUUUAAAAGAAAAAUUAUAUUUAUUAUAUGUUUAUUAUUUAUAAUUUUGUAUUUAAAAAUAUUAGAUACCAUAUAAUUAUGAUAAUUUAUUUUUAUAAAGUUAGUCAAUUAAAAAAAAAAAUAUUUUAUAUAUAUAUAAAAUUAUUUUAUUUAUUAUUAAUUUUAUUUUAUUUUAUUUUAUAUUCAUACCAUUACCAUUAAUUUAAAAUACAAAUAAAUGAUGGUACCAAAGUCAUCUUAAGUUGGUAUAACAUUGAUAGCUAUUUUAAAAAAGUAAUUUAAAAAAAAAAAACGAUUGUUGAAAAAAUUUAAUUAAAAUUUAAAGAUAGUAUUAAAUACAAACUUGAGGCAACAUAUUUAUUUUGAGAUUUGUAAUAAGUAUUAAACAAAUUGCUAGUAAAAAAACAGUAAAAAGUUAACAAAAAUUUACCAGUCACUCCUAUGUACAUUAAAAUGAAUACUGAAAUUCUAAGUUUUGCUGAUGAUACUGAAAUUUUAUUAUCUGAACGAAUUAUAAAUACUUUGUAUUAUGAGGCAAACAAUUUUUUAAAUAAUAUUAAUAUUUGGUUUUACAAGAAUAAAUUGAAAAUAAACUUAUUAAAAUCUAAAUGUAUUUAAUAAUAAUUGUUUCGACCCAAUAAAGUGUAAUACAUUACAUGUAAAUAAUCCAUUUUUUAAUGCGUUUCUGUUUGGAAUAAUAUAUAUAUAUAUAUAUAUGGGCCACAGUGUGUUAAAUUUGAAAAUGUGAGGGAAUUAAAAUACCAUGGUCUAAUUCUUGACUAUAGACUUAAGUGGGAUAGUCAUAUUAACUAUAUAUUUAAUAACUCACAUAAAAGAAUUAUUUUUCUACAAAUGUAUAAAUGAAUUAAUUAAUUAAUUAAUGGGUCGCCUGGAGUAUUAUGAAAUGUGUAUUGUACUACCAGUUUCUAAUUAAAAAUGUAUCGUUAGGUAAAAUCACAGUCAAAAAAUAAAAGGCAGCUGAAUAUGAAAAAACAAAAUGAAGGAAUACAUAGAAAAAAAUUAUACUUUUACAUAGAAAUAAUUUAUUUUAAUAAGACAGAUUAUUUAAAAUGAGUUAUCAUUAGACAUACAUAUGUUAAGAAAUAUAAAUUGUUUGGUUAUUAUUUAUUAUCUUAAAU